This 270-nucleotide ribosomal RNA is filed under the name uncultured prokaryote. Its description in RNAcentral is "partial 16S ribosomal RNA". It matches the Rfam family "Archaeal small subunit ribosomal RNA", at positions 474 to 743 of the family's 1478-position model. The record is from RNAcentral.
CACCAGCGCCACGAGUGGUGAUCAUGUUUAUUGGGCCUAAAGCGUUCGUAGCCGGUUUGAUAAAUCUCUUGUGAAAUUGUUAACGUCAACUUAACAGAGUGCAAGAGAGACUGUUAAACUUGAGACCGGGAGGAGAUAGAAGUACUUUGGGGGGAGUGGUAAAAUGCAGUAAUCCUCAAGGGACUGCCUGUGGCGAAGGCGUCUAUCUAGAACGGCUCUGACGGUGAGGAACGAAGGCUAGGGGCGCGAAUCGGAUUAGAUACCCCCGUA